AUUGAACGCUGGCGGCAGGCCUAACACAUGCAAGUCGAGCGGUAACAGAAAGAAAGCUUGCUUUCUUUGCUGACGAGCGGCGGACGGGUGAGUAAUGCCUGGGAAUAUACCCUGAUGUGGGGGAUAACUAUUGGAAACGAUAGCUAAUACCGCAUAAUCUCUUCGGAGCAAAGAGGGGGACCUUCGGGCCUCUCGCGUCAGGAUUAGCCCAGGUGGGAUUAGCUAGUUGGUGGGGUAAUGGCUCACCAAGGCGACGAUCCCUAGCUGGUCUGAGAGGAUGAUCAGCCACACUGGGAACUGAGACACGGGUCCAGACUCCUACGGGAGGCAGCAGUGGGGAAUAUUGCACAAUGGGGGAAACCCUGAUGCAGCCAUGCCGCGUGUAUGAAGAAGGCCUUCGGGUUGUAAGUACUUUCAGUUGUGAGG
This 426-nucleotide ribosomal RNA is filed under the name uncultured bacterium. RNAcentral describes it as "bacterial SSU rRNA". It matches the Rfam family "Bacterial small subunit ribosomal RNA", at positions 30 to 447 of the family's 1533-position model. The record is from RNAcentral.